Molecule: RNA transcript, 3342 nt
Organism: Manis pentadactyla (Chinese pangolin)
Lineage: Eukaryota; Metazoa; Chordata; Mammalia; Pholidota; Manidae
Exons: 5
Source: RefSeq, a predicted model, not a curated record
UGCAGUAGCCCUCAGCUUGCCGGCGCCUCAGGGAGCUUACUGGCUGGCUGCUGUACUCACAUGUUAAGCAGAUGUGUAUGGGGAGACCGUGAAGACGGAGACUGGACACACCAAUGUGAGAGGGGCCACUUCAUGACCGUUCCCUCCCAGUGCUCAGUCCCCGACGGCCUCCACCGUCUGUCUGUUUCUAUGAGUCUGUGACAUGAGCGCACAGUCCCGUCCCAUGGCCAGGAUCCCGCCGACCCCUGCUCCCUGGAGCCCCCUCACCCCCUGUGCUGGCGGUGUGUCCUUGGCUUCCUCCAGCUGCCGGUGGGUCCAGGGGCCCAGUCAGCUCUGCACACAGCGGCUGCUGGCGUUCUCCUCCCUGGGCACUCAGGUCUGAAACUCGACCCCGGUGAGGACCAGCCCUACCUCCCUGGAGGAAACGGCUGAACAGCCCAGCAACAGCAGAUGAAACUUCCUUCCCCCUCAUCCAGCUGCAGGCCCCCCAGCCCGAGGACUCUCCUCCCUGUCUCCAGCUGCCCCAGCCCGGACAGCAGCCCCAGAGGGCCUGAGGGAGGAACGUGUCUUCCCACGUCCCAGGACUGGCUUCUUGGCAGACCUGGACCUCAGGUGCGCACAGCACUUGGCUGCCCGUCCGCCGUUGCCUGCUGAAGGGCGGCUGUGGGACGCAGCCAGCUGCUUGCAGUUGCCCCGCUGCGCAGGACACGGAAGGGGAGGAAAACCCCUGGGGUGUGGAUGUGAGGAGGGGUGGCAUGUGCAGGCCUUCCUUGGCUCCUGCCUGCAGGAAACCUGCAGGGCUCCCGCCCCUGCCACGCGGGCUGCCUAGCCCAGCUCCUGUCAUGAGUGAACGGAGCGAGCUGUGAGCCCUGGCUGCUCCUUGCUGCCCCCCAGGGGCCUGCGGGAUGCCGACCCUCUGUCUUGGGAUGCCUUGGGCUACUCGAUGCCACAGACCACCCAGGCUCACGCUGACUGUGGUGACAGGGCUGUGCAGCUGGGAGGUGGUGUCACCUGCCACAUGCCCCCAGAGAGCUGCGGUGAGGACACAGGUACCACGGCGCAGCCCAGGAGGGCGCGGCUCUACCGAUGCCACUGGCCCAUUCAGACCAGCAAGAGCUCCCUGGCCCCACCUGCCGCCCUGCCUCUCAAGGUCCCCCUGCCACCUUCCCCCAGGCCUGGCUCCUUCCUCUGUGCUCGGCCACCAUCCCAGCCACUAGCAGCCUUUUGUUUGGAAGAAGAGCGUGAAUAUCUAUCUGUUUGCCAAGCCCCCCACCAAAGCCAAGAGAGGCCAGGCCAGGCGGCAUGCCUACUUGCUGUGGAGACCCAAGGGAAGGGGCGAGGAGGCACGUUAAGGCCCUGCAAAGUGCUGCAGCUCUGCUGGAGUUUUCAUAGCCCACGUAUUCUCGUGUCCUCACAGCAACCCUGAGAAAUAGAGCUUUAUAGCCCCAGUUUCAGAUGAGAGUGAAGUGGCUAUGCAAAAACCCUCCUUCCAGAGGACAAGGGAAAUGCAAAACCUGUUUUCCAGAGUGAGCACUGGGGAUUCUGGGGAGGCUCCCGUGAGCUUGUGGAGUUUCCAGAACUGGAGGGCAGCCAUCUCCUUACACACUUGACCUUCUGGGACCCCUGUCCACCUCCUAACCCUCCUCCAAGUGGCCUCAGAGUCCUGGGCAUCAGCCUGCUGGCCUCAUUUCCCAUCAAGAAGAGAGGUCGCCCCGGGGUCUCCAGGUCUCUCCGGACUCUGCGUCUGCUCCUGGCCACCCCUGCUCCUUGUCAUUAGCAUCCUACUCUCUGUGUCCUGACUCAGCCUCCUCGUUGUGCAUGCCUGAGCCAGCCUGCCCUCUUCCCCCAGCUCCAGCGGACACGGUAAAAGGAUGCUUUCAUGCCGCCUUUUCCAACAGCAGGGGCAUCUUCCUAUUCUGUAUUGUGUGUUCAUGACAGUGCUGAGGGUGAGGAUGAGGGUGCGUGAGACAGAGGGGGCACUCUUGCGUGUGUGGGUCAGUGUGGAGGGGACUCUUGAGGAAGUCCCAGGAGAAACGGGUGGAAUUCACAUGGGAAGGGGGCCUUCCAUGGCUCGGACAUGGUGCUGCUCGUCUGGAUUCUGUGGCUGUCCCCCACGCGCCUCUCAACACCACCCUCCCUCCCUUUCUCCUUUCAACAGGGCGCCUGGGCAACCGGAGUGAGGAGCCAGGGAGAAGGGGAGCCCCAGUGCUCUGGGGUGGGGGACUCUUGGGAGAAGAGGGACGCUAGCAGGCUUCUUCGAGAAACAGUUUACAUUCCACUGUUGUUCUUAUAUCACUCAUUUCCUGUGGGGCUUAGGAGGAGCGACACGCCCACAUCCUGAUGCUCUGCAGCCUGCAGAGGGCUUCCCAGGACCUCAGGGCUCCGUGAGGAUACACAUGACUAUCCCCACUUCACAGAUGAGGAGGCAGAUGCUUCACAACAGUCAGCUGCUGCUGGGGAUCAAGACGAGGAGACGGGGGCUCAGGGUGGCACUCCAGUUUUCCAUGCUGAGGCCAGAGCCCCUGCCCUCUUCUCUCUCCAUCUCCCGAGAGGGGGGAGGCCUCAGGGGUGUGGGGCCUCGGGAUCCUGCCAUGUGUCAACAGGCACCGCCCUCUAGAAGGACCUGGAGGACGUGGGCUCCAGCUCUGGGCCGUGCCAGCUGCAGGUUGCAGCAGCCCUGUGGUGAGUCCCUUGGUGUGAACCAGAUGUUCCAUGGUCUGGCCAGAGCCCGCCUGCCCAGUUUCCGGGGCCCCACGUCCUGCCGGUUCUGUGGGAAUGCAGGGGACUGUCCACGUGUGACUCAGGCUUGGGGCUAAAGAUAAGAAGCCCCAGACAAAGACAGAAAACAGACACAACUCAAAAAGACAAGAAAAAAAGCUUUUCCACAAUAAUUUUGGGAAAUCUCCAAAUAUUUUUUUUAACUAGGUCUUUGUGCUUUGAACUAACAUGGCUUUUGGUAUAUAAAUGACAUCAGAAAAUGAGCAGUGACUAUAUUUCAAGAAUUUCUCCCCAAAGCCCCUUUUCACAAACCCCACCAAAUUUUUACUUGUAGCUUUGAAUUUCCCAGAAGGCCCACCUCUCUAUUUCGGUCUUCCCUGUCCUCUCCCUCUCACCUCAAAAGCAGUCACUUGUGGAGUUUUCCUCACCAGGGCACAGAGGAAAAGUGGGAACGGGCAAGACAGCAGGUGUGGUGUGCAGGAGGUGCCAGGGCCAGACUCCUGACGGUGGGCUCGUUCCCUACAGGCAGGCCCGGCUAGCCCACUAGACAAAAUGGUUUUAACUUUCUGCGUCUUGAAUGGUUUUGCUGUAAAAUAAAACCAGCGUCUGAAAUAUGUCUGUAAA